RNAcentral lists this ribosomal RNA (679 nucleotides) under Spathoderma clenchi. RNAcentral describes it as "16S ribosomal RNA". It matches the Rfam family "Bacterial large subunit ribosomal RNA", at positions 1776 to 2794 of the family's 2925-position model. The record is from RNAcentral. Lineage: Eukaryota; Metazoa; Mollusca; Caudofoveata; Chaetodermatida; Prochaetodermatidae.
ACAAAAUAAGAUAGGCUAUUAUACCUAGUGACAAACCAUAGCCCCCCGCCAAAAAAUAUAUUACAACCCCCACCCCCGCAUGGGGGGUAUUGCCUGCCCAGUGAAACUCUUAAACGGCCGCGGUAGCCUAACCGUGCGAAGGUAGCGUAAUUCAUUGCCUUAUAAUUUAAGGCCAGUCAAUGGUCGAACGUGAGCUCAGCUGUCUCCCGGCCACCACUCGCGGAACUUAACUUUUAAGUGAAAAGGCUUAAAUAAACCUGAAAGACGAGAAGACCCUGCAGAAUUUCAUUCCACGGGGCCAAGCCGGGCCACCCCAGCUUGCCCCUCCAGUUUAAUUGGGGCAAUUAGAGAAAACAAAAACUUCUCUCCCCUACUCAACCCUCAAGUGUCUAGAGCUAAGCAAUUAACGAAAGGAAAAAUUACCUCAGGGAUAACAGCGUAAUGCUAUUGGAGAGUACACAUUAAUAAUAGCGAUUGCGACCUCGAUGUUGGAUUAAAAACCACACGAAAGUGUAGCAGCUUUCUAUGCGGGCCUGUUCGGCCCUUCAAAUUUUACAUGAUCUGAGUUCAGACCGACGUGAGUCAGGUCGGUUUCUAUCUUCAAAUAUGAGGGCGCUUCGUACGAAAGGAUCAGCCCCCUAUAAGCCGUUAUUAAAUAAUAAGCCCGUCUAAUAAAAUA